CACAAUCUCCCCAGGUGUGGCUUGG
Molecule: non-coding RNA, 25 nt
Filed under: Mus musculus (house mouse)
Lineage: Eukaryota; Metazoa; Chordata; Mammalia; Rodentia; Muridae
Source: RNAcentral